ACUCCUACGGGAGGCAGCAGUGGGGAAUAUUGGACAAUGGGGGCAACCCUGAUCCAGCCAUGCCGCGUGAGUGAUGAAGGCCUUAGGGUUGUAAAGCUCUUUCAGCGAGGAGGAUAAUGACGUUACUCGGCAGAAGAAGCCCCGGCUAACUUUCGUGCCAGCAGCCGCGGUAAUACGAAGGGGCUAGCGUUGUUCGGAAUCACUGGGCGUAAAGCGCACGUAGGCGGAUUGAUAAGUUAGGGGUGAAAUCCCGGGGCUCAACCUCGGGAACUGCCUUUUGAACUGUCAGUCUUGAGUCCCGAGAGAGGUGAGUGGAACUCCGAGUGUAGAGGUGAAAUUCGUAGAUAUUCGGAAGAACACCAGUGGCGAAGGCGGCUCACUGGCUCGGUACUGACGCUGAGGUGCGAAGCGUGGGGAGCAAACAGGAUUAGAUACCCUGGUAGCUACGAG
Molecule: ribosomal RNA, 450 nt
Filed under: uncultured bacterium
Lineage: Bacteria
Description: bacterial SSU rRNA
Rfam family: Bacterial small subunit ribosomal RNA
Source: RNAcentral